RNAcentral lists this transfer RNA (75 nucleotides) under Candidatus Woesebacteria bacterium GWB1_43_5. RNAcentral describes it as "tRNA-Thr". It matches the Rfam family "tRNA". Rfam says of the family: Transfer RNA (tRNA) molecules are approximately 80 nucleotides in length. Their secondary structure includes four short double-helical elements and three loops (D, anti-codon, and T loops). Lineage: Bacteria; Candidatus Woeseibacteriota. The record is from RNAcentral.
GCCUGGGUAGCUCAGGGGUAGAGCACCAACUUGGUAAGUUGGGGGUCAUGGGUUCAAAUCCCAUCUCAGGCUCAA